RNAcentral lists this ribosomal RNA (253 nucleotides) under uncultured bacterium. Its description in RNAcentral is "partial 16S ribosomal RNA". It matches the Rfam family "Bacterial small subunit ribosomal RNA", at positions 524 to 776 of the family's 1533-position model. The record is from RNAcentral.
UACGAAGGGGGCUAGCGUUGCUCGGAAUUACUGGGCGUAAAGGGCGCGUAGGCGGAUAGUUUAGUCAGAGGUGAAAGCCCAGGGCUCAACCUUGGAACUGCCUUUGAUACUGGCUAUCUUGAGUUCGGGAGAGGUGAGUGGAAUGCCGAGUGUAGAGGUGAAAUUCGUAGAUAUUCGGCGGAACACCAGUGGCGAAGGCGACUCACUGGCCCGAUACUGACGCUGAGGCGCGAAAGCUAGGGGAGCAAACGGG